UACGAAGGGGGCUAGCGUUGCUCGGAAUCACUGGGCGUAAAGCGCACGUAGGCGGUUUGCUAAGUCAGGGGUGAAAUCCUGGAGCUCAACUCCAGAACUGCCUUCGAUACUGGAAAGCUCGAGUCCGGGAGAGGUGAGUGGAACUGCGAGUGUAGAGGUGAAAUUCGUAGAUAUUCGCAAGAACACCAGUGGCGAAGGCGGCUCACUGGCCCGGUACUGACGCUGAGGUGCGAAAGCGUGGGGAGCAAACAGG
This 253-nucleotide ribosomal RNA is filed under the name uncultured bacterium. RNAcentral's name for it is "partial 16S ribosomal RNA". It matches the Rfam family "Bacterial small subunit ribosomal RNA", at positions 524 to 776 of the family's 1533-position model. The record is from RNAcentral.